Molecule: long non-coding RNA, 2240 nt
Organism: Manis pentadactyla (Chinese pangolin)
Lineage: Eukaryota; Metazoa; Chordata; Mammalia; Pholidota; Manidae
Exons: 3
Source: RefSeq, a predicted model, not a curated record
UAAUAGUUGUCUUGACCUGGAAACAACCCAAACGGCCCACAGGUGAUGGACAGAUAAACUAGUGGAGGAGCAGCCAUAUAAUGGGAAAAAAAAGGAAUGAACUGAUACCCACAUGGAUGGACCUCAAACCCAGAUUCAAAGGUCUCCCUGCUGUAUGAUUCCAGUAAUACCACAUUCUGGAGAAGGCAAAGCUGUAGGGACAGGAAAAAAAGAAAAAAAAGGAACAGACAGAAUGGGCUUGGGGGAGAGGUUGACUAGGAAGGGUCACCAGGGUAUUUUCUGGGGAGCGGGGACUGUUCCGUCUUGUCCUGAAAGUCAGUGACAGGGUAGAAAUGUGUAAAAAUUCAUCAGACUUCACAUUUGAGAUCUGUCCAUUUCUCAAUGCGAGGUAUAUCUCAAUUUCUAAUAAGUUUUUAGAAGCUCCCGCUCCCCAUGCGAGGCUCGAGGGGUCGGCGCUGGGGACUUACGGGGAGGGAGCCGGCCCUGAGGGCCGGUCGGUUCCCGCUCGGGUCCCCUCGGCCGGAAACGCGGCCGCUGCGGCUCCGCCCCCGCUCGCGUCCCGGGUGGGACCCUCCGCUCGCGCCUGCCCGCCUGCGGCGGCGGGGGGCAGCCUGCGGUGCCUCCAGGCUUGGCAGCGGAGGCACGCGCCGGGCACUGGGCCGGGGCUCUGCCGCUGCUCACCCGGGGUCGUCCCAAGCCUCGGCGCCCCUCGCUCCGCAGGGUGGUGCUGCGGCGCCGGCCUCUCUGGCGGUGCAGAACUCGUGCAGCAUGCGGUCCCCAGAGGGCAGGGCCGCCAUUUGCUAACCCCCGGCGCUCCCCCUGGGGGCCUAGAGCCCCUCAGAAGCCACAGAUGCCCAGGGAGGGGACACGCCCUCGUGGAUGGUCAGCUGGGAGCAUAGCUGGGGAAUAAAGGAACCAGGGACAAACCUUCCUGCCCUCGCCAAAGCCCACGCUCUGUGCCGGGCACUGUGGACACAGCCGGGACCAGACAGACAGGGUCCUGGUCACAGGAGCCCUCAUCCCAGCGGAGGAAACGGGGUGCACAGCAACAAGCAUAAAUGACGAUUGCACAAAGUUUCCCUAACUGUAUAAAGCACCUGGGUUGGAAGCUCUGGAAUUCUGGCUCCUUUCAAACCAAGACUAAUGUGACUUCACUUCGGUUGCACAAGAUAUGUGCCUGCAGACGUUCACAGAGACAGACGGACCUCAACAUGCAGAGAAAUCAAACAGGCACAGCCAGCAAAAUGGAAUAGUAGAAAUGGCAUGGGCUUCAGAGGCAAACUCAGUGGAGUUCAAAUCCUGAUAUGGCCAUUUACAAGGGAAACAACUUGUCCAUAGGAAAAAAUCCAAACACCUGAGCCCCCGUUUUCUUCUGUGACAUGGAAAUUAUACCAGCUCCUCUUCAGAGCACUUGCAAGAAUCAGAAAUCUAACAAGUGGCACUGCGCUUGGCAUGGAAUAAGAAUUCACAAAGAGCAAUCUCGAAUUCCACUUUUUAAUGAGUACCUAUUAUGUGCCAGGCAUCGUUUCAGGCACUGAGGUCACAGCCAUGAAUGUGACAAUGUCCCUGCAUUGUGAUGGUUAAAAAAUCACCAGUAAAACCUAUCACUAACCAAUUGUAUGUGAUCCAUUUGAAAGUUUUUGUUUUCUAUGCCCGUGAUGUUCUCUUCUGUUGCUCCUAUGGUCUCUGUUUCCCUGAUUCAUACUGAUUUUUUUGUUUCCCAGACCAACCUAAGAGCUGAGGCUGGCCAGAGACAACCCAAAUGACGGCUAUCGAGUUAGUCAUCAGGUGAGAAUGGGAGACGAGAUAUUCUGGAGAUCCAGAUGAAUGAGACAGAUUCCUGUCUCAAAUAAUUCUUGGUCUGUUGGCAAUAUUAAUAAUCGAGACCAUUUGUGGAGUACUUACUUGAGGUCAGGUGUUAGGUGAGGCACUGUACAAUUAAUACUUUUUAAUUAACUAUUUCUUUUAAUCAACCUUUUCUUUAAGGUAUAAUUUACUUUCAUAGUGGUUUGCUGGACCUUUCAAUAGAGUCUCAGUUAACUACUGAAAUGAAGAUUUCUAAAAGAAAAUUCUAUUGUACAGCUUAAACAUUCAUGAAGGCAGAAAUCUGAAUAAAUUUUGCCAUCCUAAUGAAGCAUCGUAAUGACAAAGGUGACAGUAUUAAAAAAAUAAGAAUGGACCUCUGAGCCUCCUAUACUCUAAGUUCCCAGAUUUCAGAUAAAAUUUUGAAGCUCCACCCA